Molecule: ribosomal RNA, 253 nt
Filed under: uncultured bacterium
Lineage: Bacteria
Description: partial 16S ribosomal RNA
Rfam family: Bacterial small subunit ribosomal RNA
Source: RNAcentral
UACGAUGGGUGCAAGCGUUGCUCGGAAUUAUUGGGCGUAAAGGGUAGGUAGGUGGUCUCAUUUGUCUGGGGUGAAAGCCUUGAGCUUAACUCAAGAAGUGCCCUAGAAACGGUGAGACUGGAGUCCUGGAGAGGGUCGUGGAAUUCCCGGUGUAGCGGUGAAAUGCGUAGAGAUCGGGAGGAACACCAGAGGCGAAGGCGGCGACCUGGACAGGCACUGACACUCAACUACGAAAGCGUGGGGAGCAAACAGG